AUGGUGAUGUGGUUGGGGGCAACGCCGGCAAGGACUCGCCGCUGCGGUGGCUGCGAUGGAGGAAGAGUUGCUGCCCUGUGUUUUUGUCACUGUGUGAGAUGAGAGCGCCGAGGCUGAAAGGCGACGGUUGUGACUGCUGUGACCCAAGGAAGCAAUCGUCGAGCAACCGGGUUGAGGCUGCGGUGAUGCCAACCAACAACUGCAGCAGCGGAGGCAGAACAAGAGGGAGGUGGCGUU
Molecule: long non-coding RNA, 237 nt
Filed under: Musa acuminata (dwarf banana)
Lineage: Eukaryota; Viridiplantae; Streptophyta; Magnoliopsida; Zingiberales; Musaceae
Description: long non-coding RNA (MACU_LNC005695)
Source: RNAcentral